Molecule: ribosomal RNA, 631 nt
Filed under: Klebsiella pneumoniae
Lineage: Bacteria; Pseudomonadati; Pseudomonadota; Gammaproteobacteria; Enterobacterales; Enterobacteriaceae
Description: partial 23S ribosomal RNA
Rfam family: Bacterial large subunit ribosomal RNA
Source: RNAcentral
GCGUAAUAGCUCACUGGUCGAGUCGGCCUGCGCGGAAGAUGUAACGGGGCUAAACCAUGCACCGAAGCUGCGGCAGCGACACUAUGUGUUGUUGGGUAGGGGAGCGUUCUGUAAGCCUGCGAAGGUGACCUGUGAGGGUUGCUGGAGGUAUCAGAAGUGCGAAUGCUGACAUAAGUAACGAUAAAGCGGGUGAAAAGCCCGCUCGCCGGAAGACCAAGGGUUCCUGUCCAACGUUAAUCGGGGCAGGGUGAGUCGACCCCUAAGGCGAGGCCGAAAGGCGUAGUCGAUGGGAAACAGGUUAAUAUUCCUGUACUUGGUGUUACUGCGAAGGGGGGACGGAGAAGGCUAUGUUAGCCGGGCGACGGUUGUCCCGGUUUAAGCAUGUAGGCUGAUUGUCCAGGCAAAUCCGGAUAAUCAAGGCUGAGGUGUGAUGACGAGGCACUACGGUGCUGAAGUAACAAAUGCCCUGCUUCCAGGAAAAGCCUCUAAGCAUCAGGUAACAUCAAAUCGUACCCCAAACCGACACAGGUGGUCAGGUAGAGAAUACCAAGGCGCUUGAGAGAACUCGGGUGAAGGAACUAGGCAAAAUGGUGCCGUAACUUCGGGAGAAGGCACGCUGGUGUGUAGGUGA